GCUGCCUCUGAGCCCCUGCCGCACCUGCGCAUGGCGCCCAGGGUUAAACUGCAGC
RNAcentral lists this small nucleolar RNA (55 nucleotides) under Choloepus hoffmanni (Hoffmann's two-fingered sloth). The record is from RNAcentral. Lineage: Eukaryota; Metazoa; Chordata; Mammalia; Pilosa; Megalonychidae.